Molecule: long non-coding RNA, 421 nt
Filed under: Prunus persica (peach)
Lineage: Eukaryota; Viridiplantae; Streptophyta; Magnoliopsida; Rosales; Rosaceae
Description: long non-coding RNA (PPER_LNC003976)
Source: RNAcentral
CCUGGAGUGACGACAUUGGAACUCACAGCCCUGGUGACUGUACGGACAAGUAAGCAGAAGAAGAAGCCUAUGAACAUCAUUGGCUUGAAGAUGAUGCUUUUUCCUCUCGUGCAUGAUCACAAGGGUGUUGUUCUACAGCUCGUCAGUACUAAAAAUGAAGCAAGUAAGCUGCUUAACUGAAAAUGAAGCAAGUAAGCUGCUUAAUCAAUUUUAAUUGUUUUAGUUGUUUUGAUUAAGAGCAAGUCACAUAAAUAUAUCCGGCAAGAGAACCUUACCUGUAAAUGACUAAUGUAUUUGUGUCAUGAAGACUUUGAGCCAGUCGGGAGACACCGGAAGGGCUGAAAGAGCUAAAGAGAAAUGGAGCUAAGGUAGCUGAGGGGUGACGAGACCACUAUGACACAUACAAUGACAUUGGAAAUCC